GCUAGUGGCUGUUGCACCAGUACCAGUAGCCGGGGUGCCAGCGCAAAGCGAAUCGGUUGAGAAGUUGGGAGAAGAUGAACCAAUGGUUAAUCUUGGGAGUGAUCAUGACGAUUAUCCUGAGAUGUAUCUAAGUGGAGACGAGGAGGCAGAGUCUGAGCCAGUUAAGGUGGAACUGAAGAAUAAGAUCAAGGUUGGUGAACAAGAUCAGCUAUCUGUGGAAGUCCAGGAACUCCGAAGCAAGGUAUUUCUCUUGGAGGAGUUGUGGAAGACAGAGCGGGCAUUACGUGAAAUGACUG
RNAcentral lists this long non-coding RNA (296 nucleotides) under Panax ginseng (ginseng). RNAcentral's name for it is "long non-coding RNA (PGIN_LNC001657)". Lineage: Eukaryota; Viridiplantae; Streptophyta; Magnoliopsida; Apiales; Araliaceae. The record is from RNAcentral.